UCCGUAGGUGAACCUGCGGAAGGAUCAUUAUCGAGUAAUGCCCCCCUCUGGGGUAGACCUCAAACCCUUUGUUGACCUUUUUCAACUCUUUUAGUGUUGUCUGAAUAGAUAUAUAAAUCAGUCAAAACUUUCAACAACGGAUCUCUUGGUUCUGGCAUCGAUGAAGAACGCAGCAAAAUGCGCUAAGUAAUGUGAAUUGCAGAAUUUAGUGAAUCAUCGAAUCUUUGAACGCACAUUGCGCCCUCUGGUAUUCCGGGGGGCAUGCCUGUUCGAGCGUCAUAACACCCCUCAAGCGUAGCUUGGUCUUGGGCCUUUCGUCAUUGGUGACGGGUCUGAAAAUCAGUGGUGGAUGCCCUUAUGGUUCCUGAUGCAGUAGUUGCUUUCUCAUCUGGAAGGCCUGAGGGUUGUCUUGCCAAAACAUGUGGGCAGCGAUGCUCAAAUAUCCUAUAGUUUGACCUCGGAUCAGGUAGGGAUACCCGCUGAACUUAAGCAUAUCAAUAAGCGGAGGAAAAGAAACCAACAGGGAUUGCCUCAGUAACGGCGAGUGAAGUGGCAACAGCUCAAAUUUGAAAUCUGGCUCUUUCAGAGUCCGAAUUGUAAUUUGUAGAGGAUGCUUCGGCGUCGCUCCGGUCUAAGUUCCUUGGAACAGGACGUCAUAGAGGGUGAGAAUCCCGUCUGUGGCCGGCAGCUUAGCCAUGUGAAGCUCCUUCGACGAGUCGAGUUGUUUGGGAAUGCAGCUCUAAAUGGGUGGUAAAUUUCAUCUAAAGCUAAAUACUGGCCAGAGACCGAUAGCGAACAAGUAGAGUGAUCGAAAGAUGAAAAGCACUUUGGAAAGAGAGUUAAACAGUACGUGAAAUUGUUGAAAGGGAAACGCUUGAAGU
This 881-nucleotide small RNA is filed under the name uncultured fungus. RNAcentral's name for it is "eukaryotic LSU rRNA". The stretch from base 453 to 881 matches the Rfam family "Eukaryotic large subunit ribosomal RNA", at positions 1 to 429 of the family's 3401-position model. Lineage: Eukaryota; Fungi. The record is from RNAcentral.